Molecule: ribosomal RNA, 492 nt
Filed under: uncultured bacterium
Lineage: Bacteria
Description: partial 16S ribosomal RNA
Rfam family: Bacterial small subunit ribosomal RNA
Source: RNAcentral
AGUGAACGCUGGCGGUAGGCCUAACACAUGCAAGUCGAACGGCAGCACAGUAAGAGCUUGCUCUUACGGGUGGCGAGUGGCGGACGGGUGAGGAAUACAUCGGAAUCUACUUUUUCGUGGGGGAUAACGUAGGGAAACUUACGCUAAUACCGCAUACGACCUACGGGUGAAAGCAGGGGAUCUUCGGCCCUUGCGCGAUUGAAUGAGCCGAUGUCGGAUUAGCUAGUUGGCGGGGUAAAGGCCCACCAAGGCGACGAUCCGUAGCUGGUCUGAGAGGAUGAUCAGCCACACUGGAACUGAGACACGGUCCAGACUCCUACGGGAGGCAGCAGUGGGGACUAUUGGACAAUGGGCGCAAGCCUGAUCCAGCCAUACCGCGUGGGUGAAGAAGGCCUUCGGGUUGUAAAGCCCUUUUGUUGGGAAAGAAAAGCAGCAGGUUAAUACCCCGCUGUUCUGACGGUACCCAAAGAAUAAGCACCGGCUAACUUCGUG